AGAGAAGCUUCAGAUAAGAAGAAGUGCGGCUAAAUUUGCACUCUAUCAGAAAUUUACCAAUUCCCUUGCAGUAGCAGUGUUGAUCUCCAUUUCUUGGAUUGGAUAUGAGUUGUACUUCAAUGCAACUGAUCCAUUGAGUGAAAUGUGGCAAAAAGCAUGGAUCAUCUCAGCUUUCUGGACUUUGCUUGCAUUUGUGCUACUGCUGGUGAUAUGCCUUCUUUGGGCUCCUUCGCAUAACCCAACAAGAUACGCAUUCUCUGAGGAGACAGUGGAUGAUUCUGAUGAAGCGAGUAUUCCUCUGUCUGAGAGUGUUGUUAAGGCGGGUGGAGAUUUAGCUAGCAAGGUGGAAAGAAAGGAAAGGAAGGCAUCAACUGCAUCAGAGCAGUAUGCGCUUGGGCUUGGAGAAGAUCUUGAGGAAGA
RNAcentral lists this unclassified non-coding RNA (420 nucleotides) under Hevea brasiliensis (rubber tree). The record is from RNAcentral. Lineage: Eukaryota; Viridiplantae; Streptophyta; Magnoliopsida; Malpighiales; Euphorbiaceae.